RNAcentral lists this ribosomal RNA (250 nucleotides) under uncultured bacterium. RNAcentral's name for it is "partial 16S ribosomal RNA". It matches the Rfam family "Bacterial small subunit ribosomal RNA", at positions 524 to 773 of the family's 1533-position model. The record is from RNAcentral.
UACGGAGGGUGCGAACGUUAAUCGGAAUUACUGGGCGUAAAGCGCGCGUAGGCGGUUCGGUAAGUGGGAUGUGAAAGCCCUGGGCUCAACCUGGGAACUGCAUUCCAAACUGCCGAGCUAGAGUGUGGUAGAGGGAGGUAGAAUUUCCUGUGUAGCGGUGAAAUGCGUAGAUAUAGGAAGGAAUACCAGUGGCGAAGGCGGCCUCCUGGAUCAACACUGACGCUGAGGUGCGAAAGCGUGGGGAGCAAAC